AUCUUAUCGAGAGAGGUGGAGGGACUGGCCCUGUGAAACCUCAGCAACCGGCUAUCGCCAAGGUGCUAAAUCCAGCAAGCUCGUGCUUGGUAGAUGAGGA
Molecule: non-coding RNA, 100 nt
Filed under: Bacillus sp. V59.32b
Lineage: Bacteria; Bacillati; Bacillota; Bacilli; Caryophanales; Bacillaceae
Also listed under: 1 other name
Description: SAM riboswitch aptamer (S box leader)
Rfam family: SAM riboswitch aptamer (S box leader)
About the family: The SAM riboswitch is found upstream of a number of genes which code for proteins involved in methionine or cysteine biosynthesis in Gram-positive bacteria. The SAM riboswitch acts at the level of transcription termination control.
Source: Rfam by way of RNAcentral